RNAcentral lists this ribosomal RNA (510 nucleotides) under uncultured bacterium. RNAcentral describes it as "bacterial SSU rRNA". It matches the Rfam family "Bacterial small subunit ribosomal RNA", at positions 15 to 518 of the family's 1533-position model. The record is from RNAcentral.
GAUCAUGGCUCAGGAUGAACGCUAGCGGCAGGCUUAACACAUGCAAGUCGAGGGGCAGCGGGAUGUAGCAAUACAUUGCCGGCGACCGGCGGAUGGGUGCGUAACGCGUAUGCAACCUACCUUAUACAGGGGAAUAACCUUUCGAAAGGGAGACUAACACCCCAUAGUAUUGAUUUAAGGCAUCUUAGAUUAAUUAAAUAUUUAUAGGUAUAAGAUGGGCAUGCGUAUGAUUAGCUAGUUGGUAAGGUAACGGCUUACCAAGGCGACGAUCAUUAGGGGUUCUGAGAGGAAGGUCCCCCACACUGGUACUGAGACACGGACCAGACUCCUACGGGAGGCAGCAGUGAGGAAUAUUGGUCAAUGGGCGCAAGCCUGAACCAGCCAUGCCGCGUGCAGGAGGACGGCCUUAUGGGUUGUAAACUGCUUUUACAUAAGACUAACCGUAUAUUUGCGAAUAUACCUGAAUGUAUUAUGAGAAUAAGGAUCGGCUAACUCCGUGCCAGCCGCCGC